RNAcentral lists this ribosomal RNA (499 nucleotides) under uncultured bacterium. Its description in RNAcentral is "partial 16S ribosomal RNA". It matches the Rfam family "Bacterial small subunit ribosomal RNA", at positions 28 to 507 of the family's 1533-position model. The record is from RNAcentral.
GACGAACGCUGGCGGCGUGCCUAAUACAUGCAAGUCGAGCGGACCAAACAGGAGCUUGCUCUUGUUUGGUUAGCGGCGGACGGGUGAGUAACACGUGGGUAACCUGCCCGUAAGACCGGGAUAACUCCGGGAAACCGGAGCUAAUACCGGAUAACACCGAAGACCGCAUGGUCUUUGGUUGAAAGGCGGCUUCGGCUGCCACUUACGGAUGGGCCCGCGGCGCCUUAGCUAGUUGGUGAGGUAACGGCUCACCAAGGCGACGAUGCGUAGCCGGCCUGGGGGGGGGGACGGCCCACAUGGGACCGAGGCAAGGCCCCGGCCCCUAAGGGGAGCAGCCAGAGGGAAACUUUCGGAAUGGACGAAAGUCUGACGGAGCGACGCCGCGUGAGCGAAGAAGGUCUUCGGAUCGUAAAGCUCUGUUGUUAGGGAAGAAGAAGCGCCGUUCGAACAGGGCGGCGCGGUGACGGUACCUAACGAGAAAGCCCCGGCUAACUACGUG